Molecule: non-coding RNA, 1084 nt
Organism: Theobroma umbraticum
Lineage: Eukaryota; Viridiplantae; Streptophyta; Magnoliopsida; Malvales; Malvaceae
Source: RefSeq, a predicted model, not a curated record
GGACACAAUAAGUUGAGCAAUUCCUCCAAGCUUAUUGGGUGACUUUGGCUUCCAAUCAGCUUGUGUGAACAAUAAACAAAGGAUCAAGUAAAGAGGUAUUCUUGUGGAAUCGACUAGUGGAAACACAGGCAUUGGCCUUGCAUUCAUAGCUGCCUGAAAAGGAUAUGGGCUCAUCUUGACAAUGCCAGCAUCAACGAGUUCGGAAAGAAGAGUCCUUUUGAAAGCUUUUGGAGCUGAGCUUGUUUUAACUGAUUCAGCAAAAGGCAUGAAGGGAACAGUUUAAAAAGCGGAAGAGAUUUUGAAGAGCACACUCAAUGCUACAUGCUUCAACAAUUGAGCAAUCCGGCAAAUCCUCAAAUACACUAUGAGACAACAAAGUGGACAUUUUUGUUGCAAGGAUUGGAACUGGUGGAACCAUAUCUGGAGUUGGUAGCUUCCGUAAAAGAAAACAAAAUCCUAAAGCCAAGGCAAUCAUUCCCCUUUUAUCAAAUCCUGCAUUUCAUUUAUCUCAUAUGCCCUUGUGAACAUUAUUGCAUUCAAUUUUAGGGAAACGUUUUGGAGAAUUUACCACCAAACAAAAGUGCCUUGCCUUCUUUUGCAACUGAAUAAUUGACUGUUUGUAUUUUACUUUGGAUGCAUCAGGUUUUUGGUGUAGAACCUACAGAGAGUAACAUACUUUCCUGUGGAAAGCCUGGGAAGAGGAGAUCAUUUUUCUGAUAUAAUCAUAUCUUCAUGUGUUAUUUUUCAGGAAUGUGCAUCUUACAUUAAGAGCCCCCUUUCCCCCAUAAAAUGCAGGUCCUCACAGGAUUCAAGGGAUCGGAGCGGGUUUUGUACCAAGGAAUUUGGACCAAGAUAUGGUUGAUGAAGUUAUAGAGGACUGAUUUUUAUUUUCCUUCUUCCUGAUUUAUUGUUUGUGGUUGCUUUCAAGCAUUUUUAGCUGGCCUUAUUAUGAACAAGAGCAGUAAUUCUGAGGUUUCUUCUAUCAUUUUUCUCCACUAGCUUUGGUUCAUGAAGCUUGCUUUUGUUUUAGUUGAUGCAGUUUAAAUCAAAUUUGCCGACAAAGUUUUUUUGGGUACUGACCUUG